Pezoporus occidentalis (night parrot) is the source of this 1153-nucleotide long non-coding RNA. RefSeq lists it as uncharacterized. The transcript has 5 exons. The record is from RefSeq and is a predicted model, not a curated record. Lineage: Eukaryota; Metazoa; Chordata; Aves; Psittaciformes; Psittacidae.
UGUUGCACAAAAAUGGGAGGAGCAUGAGGGAAAAGCAUUUGAAAACAUAUCUGAAUUGGAAAUUGCAAAAUAAAUACAUCAGCAAAUAGUUUUGCAGACAAAGGAGACAGACAUAUGACUUGCAGAGAAAUGUCAGUUGCUCCAACUGACUGGAAUUGCUAUGAAACAUCGUGGGAGAAGCAUCUUUUUUGGAAAGCAACGUGGAGUCGUUCCAUUGCACUGACUGCAGAACAGGACAAUAAAGAAUGUUCUGGGUUUAGUUUUGGGACAUAAAUAUUUGUUGGAUAUGGUAAAUCUGGCAAUGAAAAACUCAGCAAAGUUCAUACAAAGCAGAGGAGCCUAGAGCAGCUGCAUGCAUACAGAAAAAGUGAAAUUCUUCAUGUGUCCAUAACAGUUCCUUUUCUAAAGUAUUUUGUUAAGGUCUUAAAAGCUUCCUGAUACAUUGAUUCAAUGAGCCAAGGCCAGUCAGGUUAGCUGAAGGUUUUUCCAUAGCAGGACAGUAAAGGAAGGAUGUGACACUUCAGCAACUUCUGCCUGACAUGCUUCUGGUUUUCUGGAGCCCAUCAGAAGUCCCUUAUCCUAAGGUAUCAACUGGACCUUCGGCUAUUCGAUAUCAAUAUAUGAUUUUCAAGGACACCACAGAGAAAUUUUCAUGUCAUGUGGAUGUGGAACAGCUGAGAACUCAUUUCCUGACCCCAGGCUUGUUACAUAGAUGGUAUUAUCAAAUAACCUGAUCAAUGGAAUAGAGUGUUAUUGCUGGGGAAGUCAGAUGGCAGUACAUAACCCCACUUCUUACUCAAGUGGAGGGGGCAACAGAUGCUUGAGGUGAGGAACUUAAAACUUGCAAUCAAAUAUACUGAUAUAUCAAAUAUAAUCAUCAUUUGCCUGCUGAAAAUUGCAAAACAAACAUCCCCCUCUCCUGUCCUUCUACCAGAAGUGAGAUUAAUUUAAAGUGUAAGGUAGGACUGUAAAAGUUACUCUCAAUGUCGUUGUUCUUGUGGCUUUAAACUGAUAUUAACUCUUUCACACACUUUUUUUGGAAGUAAAAAAAAGGCAUUAUAAAAGUUUUAAAGCAACCCAUGGUGAUGUAUCUUCAUUCUCUCAGAUGUAGCACAAGAUACAUAAUAAAGAAUAAAAGUUUACUCACUUGAAA